This 582-nucleotide ribosomal RNA is filed under the name Rhodotorula mucilaginosa. RNAcentral's name for it is "eukaryotic LSU rRNA". The stretch from base 186 to 339 matches the Rfam family "5.8S ribosomal RNA". The record is from RNAcentral. Lineage: Eukaryota; Fungi; Basidiomycota; Microbotryomycetes; Sporidiobolales; Sporidiobolaceae.
CUUCCGUAGGUGAACCUGCGGAAGGAUCAUUAGUGAAUAUAGGACGUCCAACUUAACUUGGAGUCCGAACUCUCACUUUCUAACCCUGUGCACUUGUUUGGGAUAGUAACUCUCGCAAGAGAGCGAACUCCUAUUCACUUAUAAACACAAAGUCUAUGAAUGUAUUAAAUUUUAUAACAAAAUAAAACUUUCAACAACGGAUCUCUUGGCUCUCGCAUCGAUGAAGAACGCAGCGAAAUGCGAUAAGUAAUGUGAAUUGCAGAAUUCAGUGAAUCAUCGAAUCUUUGAACGCACCUUGCGCUCCAUGGUAUUCCGUGGAGCAUGCCUGUUUGAGUGUCAUGAAUACUUCAACCCUCCUCUUUCUUAAUGAUUGAAGAGGUGUUUGGUUUCUGAGCGCUGCUGGCCUUUACGGUCUAGCUCGUUCGUAAUGCAUUAGCAUCCGCAAUCGAACUUCGGAUUGACUUGGCGUAAUAGACUAUUCGCUGAGGAAUUCUAGUCUUCGGAUUAGAGCCGGGUUGGGUUAAAGGAAGCUUCUAAUCAGAAUGUCUACAUUUUAAGAUUAGAUCUCAAAUCAGGUAGGAC